This 329-nucleotide unclassified non-coding RNA is filed under the name soil metagenome. Its description in RNAcentral is "partial contains 5.8S ribosomal RNA, internal transcribed spacer 2, and large subunit ribosomal RNA". The stretch from base 1 to 120 matches the Rfam family "5.8S ribosomal RNA", at positions 35 to 154 of the family's 154-position model. The record is from RNAcentral.
GAUGAAGAACGUAGCGAAAUGCGAUACGUAAUGCGAAUUGCAGAAUUCAGUGAAUCAUCGAGUCUUUGAACGCACAUUGCGCCCCUUGGUAUCCCGAGGGGCAUGCCUGUUCGAGCGCCAUUUCACCACUCAAGCCUGGCUUGGUGUUGGGCGACGUCCUCUUUGGGGACGCGCCUCGAAACGCUCGGCGGCGUGGCACCGGCUUUAAGCGUAGCAGAAUCUUUCGCUUUGGAAGUCGGGGCCCCGUCUGCCGGAAGACCUGCUCGCAAGGUUGACCUCGGAUCAGGCAGGGAUACCCGCUGAACUUAAGCAUAUCAAUAAGCGGAGGA